RNAcentral lists this ribosomal RNA (245 nucleotides) under uncultured Anaerofustis sp. RNAcentral describes it as "partial 16S ribosomal RNA". It matches the Rfam family "Bacterial small subunit ribosomal RNA", at positions 524 to 768 of the family's 1533-position model. The record is from RNAcentral. Lineage: Bacteria; Bacillati; Bacillota; Clostridia; Eubacteriales; Eubacteriaceae.
UACGUAGGGGGCAAGCGUUGUCCGGAAUCACUGGGCGUAAAGGGCGCGUAGGCGGUUUGUUAAGUCAGGUGUGAAAGUUUUCAGCUUAACUGGAAAAGUGCACUUGAAACUAACUUACUUGAGUACUGGAGAGGUAAGCGGAAUUCCUAGUGUAGCGGUGAAAUGCGUAGAUAUUAGGAAGAACACCGGUGGCGAAGGCGGCUUACUGGACAGAGACUGACGCUGAGGCGCGAAAGCGUGGGGAG